GUAAGCAAAUCAGUAAGAGGUGUAGGUGGGACGUGAAGCCUGCUUUUAUUUAAUCAAAAAGUUGUGUUUUGAAUGUACCAGAAGGUGAUCCAGGAAGAAUUUAAGAACUUUUAAACAAACAAUUCCUGCUGGCAGCUGUGAAGGCCAACAACACGAUUCGGCACACUGUGGACGCAUAUCAGCAACACCACUUGCCCUGGGGUGAUGUGUGAUUCCUUGAAAUGAAGAAGAUGAGAAAUCCCAUCACUAAAUCCAUUCGACAUGCUGAGGCACCAGAAACAUUUUCAGCUUGGACCUUUGUUUAUACACGGAGUUCCCGACACUCUUGCCCAGUUGGUAAACACUAAAAGAACAGCAUGACUUGGGCAUUGAACUUUACACUCAAAAUCUUGAUGCAUGAGGGUGAUGGAGAGGGCCAAGAUUGGGAGCUUCACGUAUUAACUGAUUUACUCAAUAAGUAUUUAUAUAUGACAUUCUACAUUCAUAUGUAGAGUUCUAUGUGAAUCUAGAACGUGAUAUGUAUAUUGAGUUCUAUGUGAAUAUACAAGGUGACAUAUAAAUGCUUCUUGAGAAUAUAUAUAUAUAUGAAUACAUGCCAUUCUAUAUAGUGUUAGAUGCUGGAGGUCAACAAAACACACAUAAACCCUGUCCUCAAGAAGCCUUCCAAGAAGGACACCAUGGUGUGCUGUAGGGAUGGAGAGAGAGCGAUGGAGCAGAGACGGGGGGCUGGGAACCAGUCUGGGAAUCAUGAAAAGCCCUUGGCCGAGGUCACCCUUCUGAUGGGUUUUGAAAAUACAAAGGAGCUGGGCAGAGAAGUGAGGGAACA
Molecule: long non-coding RNA, 826 nt
Filed under: Equus caballus (horse)
Lineage: Eukaryota; Metazoa; Chordata; Mammalia; Perissodactyla; Equidae
Description: lncRNA (ENSECAG00000052195.1)
Source: RNAcentral